UAAAGCUACAAAGAGCUAAUGGAGAAUGCCUUGGUACUGACAGCCGAUGAAGGACGUGUAAAGCUGCGAAAAGCUUCGGGGAGUUGCUAAAAGACCUUGAUCCGAAGAAAUCCGAAUGGGGAAACCCUGCAAGGUUAAAACCUUGUAACCCGUAACUGAAUACAUAGGUUACGUGGAGGAAAGCCUGUGAACUGAAACAUCUUAGUAACAGGACGAAAAGAAAAUAACCAAAUGAUUCCGAGAGUAGCGGCGAGCGAAAUUGGAAGAGCCUAAACAGUAUGUACGUUAUAGACUGCAAUUGUUGUGCAUAUUGGGUUGUGGGACUUACGGUAUGAUUUGCAGGUCAUACAAAGAGUUACAAAAUUUAUUUAUAGCUAAAGACAACUGGGAAGUUGCGCCAUAGCGGGUGAUAGCCCCUUAAGCGACAUAAAUAGAUCUCUUGUAAGUAUCCCGAGUAAGGCGGGGCACGUGAAACCCUGUCUGAAUCCACCGGGACCAUCCGGUAAGGCUAAAUACUAGUCAGUGACCGAUAGUGAACGAGUACAGUGAUGGAAAGGCGAAAAGAACAGUGAGAAGCUGAGUGAAAUAGACCCUGAAACCGUUAGCUUACAAUCAGUCAGAGCACUAUAAAUAGUGUGAUGGCGUGCCUGUUGAAGAAUGAGCCGGCGAGUUAUCUUACGUUGCGAGGUUAAGGAGAUUAUAUCCGGAGCCAUAGCGAAAGCGAGUUUGAAAAGAGCGUUAAGUAACUUGAGAUAGACCCGAACCUUGGUGAUCUAACCAUGAUCAGGAUGAAGCGUGGGUAACACUACGUGGAGGUCCGAACCGACUGAUGUUGAAAAAUCAGCGGAUGAAUUGUGGUUAGGGGUGAAAUGCCAAUCGAACCAAGAGCUAGCUGGUUCUCCCCGAAAUGCGUUUAGGCACAGCGUUGAAUUUAUCUUGCAGGAGGUAGAGCACUGGUUUUGUGCGGGCGACGAAAUGUUGUACCAAACAAUGUCAAACUCCGAAUGCCUGUAAUGUUACUAUUCAGCAGUGAGGCUAUGAGUGAUAAGAUCCAUGGCCAAGAGGGAAACAGCCCAGAACGCCAGUUAAGGUCCCAAAUAUAUGCUAAGUGGUUAAGGAGGUAAAGUUGCUGAGACAACCAGGAGGUUGGCUUAGAAGCAGCCAUUCCUUGAAAGAGUGCGUAAUAGCUCACUGGUCAAGCGACUUCGCGCCGAAAAUACACCGGGACUCAAGCAUAUAACCGAAGCUGCGUCAUAUAGUUUACUAUAUGGGUAGGGGAGCGUUCUAUUGUAGAAUGAAGUAAGAUCGAAAGGACUUAUGGACGAAGUAGAAGUGAGAAUGUCGGCAUAAGUAGCGAAAACAUUGGUGAGAAUCCAAUGCACCGAAAACCUAAGGUUUCCCACGGCAGGCUCGUCCGCGUGGGGUUAGUCGGACCCUAAGCUGAGGCCGAAAGGCGUAAGCGAUGGACAUCAGGUUGAUAUUCCUGAACUAUCUAAUAAUCGUUAUUAGAUGCGGAGGGACGCAGUAGGAUAUGCAAGCAGCCGAACGGAAGUGGCUGUAAAGAUGUGUAGGUAGAUUAAGUAGGAAAAUCCGCUUAAUCGUUAUAAACUGAGGCAUCGAGUAGGACAUUCUACGGAAUGGAAGUUGCAGAUUCCACACUGCCAAGAAAAUCUUCGCAAUCGAGACUAUUAGGUAUCCGUACCGUAAACCGCCACAGGUAGGUUGGUAGAAAAUACUAAGGUGCGCGAGAUAACUCUCGCUAAGGAACUCGGCAAAAUCACCUCGUAACUUCGGGAGAAGAGGUACCCUGGUAGAGUGAAGCGGUUCACCCGUGGAGCUUGAUAGGGUCGCAGUGAAUUGGCCCAUGCGACUGUUUACCAAAAACACAGGUCUCUGCUAAGUCGAUCAAGACGAUGUAUAGGGGCUGACGCCUGCCCGGUGUCGGAAGGUUACGCGGACAUGUUAGACUUCGGUCGAAGCAUAGAAGCUAAGCCCCGAUGAACGGCGGCCGUAACUAUAACGGUCCUAAGGUAGCGAAAUUCCUUGUCAGGUA
Molecule: ribosomal RNA, 2053 nt
Filed under: human gut metagenome
Description: bacterial LSU rRNA
Rfam family: Bacterial large subunit ribosomal RNA
Source: RNAcentral